CCUACGGGAGGCAGCAGGGAGGAAUAAUGGACAAUGGGCGAGAGCCUGAAGCAGCGAAGUAGCGUGAAGGAUGACAGCCCUACGGGUUGUAAACUUCUUUUAUAAAGGAAUAAAGUGAGGCACGUGUGCCUUUUUGUAUGUACCCUACGAAUAAGGAUCGGCUAACUCCGUGCCAGCAGCCGCGGUAAUACGGAGGAUCCGAGCGUUAUCCGUAUUUAUUGGGUGUAAAGGGAGCGUAGAGGGGUUGUUAAGUCAGUUGUGAAAGUUUGCGGCUCAACCGUAAAAUUGCAGUUGAUACUGGCAGUCUUGAGUACAGGUGAGGUAGGCGGAAUUCGUGGUGUAGCGGUGAAAUGCUUAGAUAUCACGAAGAACUCCGAUUGCGAAGGCAGCUUACUAGACUGCAACUGACGUUGAUGCUCGAAAGUGUGGGUAUCAAACAGGAUUAGAUACCCCAGUAGUC
RNAcentral lists this ribosomal RNA (460 nucleotides) under uncultured bacterium. RNAcentral describes it as "partial 16S ribosomal RNA". It matches the Rfam family "Bacterial small subunit ribosomal RNA", at positions 338 to 795 of the family's 1533-position model. The record is from RNAcentral.